AUACGGAGGAUCCGAGCGUUAUCCGGAUUUAUUGGGUUUAAAGGGAGCGUAGGUGGAUUGUUAAGUCAGUUGUGAAAGUUUGCGGCUCAACCGUAAAAUUGCAGUUGAAACUGGCAGUCUUGAGUACAGUAGAGGUGGGCGGAAUUCGUGGUGUAGCGGUGAAAUGCUUAGAUAUCACGAAGAACUCCGAUUGCGAAGGCAGCUCACUAGACUGUUACUGACACUGAUGCUCGAAAGUGUGGGUAUCAAACAGGAUUAGAUACCCUGGUAGUCCACACAGUAAACGAUGAAUACUCGCUGUUUGCAAUAUACAGUAAGCGGCCAAGCGAAAGCAUUAAGUAUUCCACCUGGGGAGUACGCCGGCAACGGUGAAACUUAAAGGAAUUGACGGGG
RNAcentral lists this ribosomal RNA (393 nucleotides) under uncultured bacterium. RNAcentral describes it as "partial 16S ribosomal RNA". It matches the Rfam family "Bacterial small subunit ribosomal RNA", at positions 523 to 918 of the family's 1533-position model. The record is from RNAcentral.